RNAcentral lists this ribosomal RNA (494 nucleotides) under uncultured bacterium. RNAcentral's name for it is "partial 16S ribosomal RNA". It matches the Rfam family "Bacterial small subunit ribosomal RNA", at positions 28 to 507 of the family's 1533-position model. The record is from RNAcentral.
GACGAACGCUGGCGGCGUGCUUAACACAUGCAAGUCGAACGGUGAAGCGCCUUCCUUUUUGGUGGGUGUGGAUGAGUGGCGAACGGGUGAGUAACACGUGAGUAACCUGCCCCCUUCUUCUGGAUAACCGCAUGAAAGUGUGGCUAAUACGGGAUAUUCUGGGUCUGUCGCAUGAUGGGUCUGGGAAAGAUAUUGUUUCGGUGGGGGAUGGGCUCGCGGCCUAUCAGCUUGUUGGUGGGGUGAUGGCCUACCAAGGCGGGGACGGGUAGCCGGCCUGAGAGGGUGGACGGUCACACUGGGACUGAGACACGGCCCAGACUCCUACGGGAGGCAGCAGUGGGGAAUAUUGCACAAUGGGCGCAAGCCUGAUGCAGCGACGCCGCGGGAGGGAUGGAGGCCUUCGGGUUGUGAACCUCUUUCGCCAGUGAAGCAGGCCUGCCUCGUUUGUGGGUGGGUUGACGGUAGCUGGAUAAGAAGCGCCGGCUAACUACGUG